This 359-nucleotide unclassified non-coding RNA is filed under the name fungal sp. RNAcentral's name for it is "partial internal transcribed spacer region". The stretch from base 1 to 46 matches the Rfam family "Eukaryotic small subunit ribosomal RNA", at positions 1786 to 1831 of the family's 1831-position model. The record is from RNAcentral. Lineage: Eukaryota; Fungi.
AAGUCGUAACAAGGUUUCCGUAGGUGAACCUGCGGAAGGAUCAUUAUCACGUAUCCACGUAUAAACCAUUGUGAACUGUAAAUUUAGCCUUUAGAGUGAGACCAAGAUAGUGUGUGAUUAACAUUAAGCGAUUUUUGUGAUUAAUCGUGUUAGUGAUGCCAUAGUUGUGUGCUUUCGGGCUCCUUCUAUACUUGCUUUCUCUGAAGUGUAUUAAUCACUAAUUAUUAACCAUUAUAACCCAUCUUUAUAACUUUGAACUAAUCAAUUUCCUACUCUUUCGGGAGAUGAAAUUAAAUACGAAACUAAAGAACAACUCUUAGCAACGGAUAUCUUGGUUCUCGUAACGAUGAAGAACGCGC